Ooceraea biroi (clonal raider ant) is the source of this 1434-nucleotide long non-coding RNA. RefSeq lists it as uncharacterized. Lineage: Eukaryota; Metazoa; Arthropoda; Insecta; Hymenoptera; Formicidae. The record is from RefSeq and is a predicted model, not a curated record.
ACCCUUAAUCGAUCGAUAUUAUUACGAGGCGCGCUAGCUCGCUCGCUCACUCUGCGCCCCGCGCGUUGUUCUUCCGUUCUCUUCUUUCCCUAUUGUCUUCCCGAUGCCAGUCUGUCAGGCAUCAGACGCGCGCGAGAUCACCGUAACGGCCACGGGAAUUAUUGACCGGCAGCAGAGUGGGUGGCGAUGGUGGUGGUAUUGUUUGUGGUGGUUGUUGCGAGCGUGUCACGUGACACCUCAUAUUGGUCGUAUAUUGGUAUGCUGGAGCGGAGGCGGGCAGAGCUCGGUCUUGUUACACCGUUGAGCUAAUACACGAGAGAAUGAUGAGUCGCUUCGCAUAAUUGAUAAUGUCUCUGUUGAGCAGAAUGAAUAUCGAACGUGCGUUUUGCACGCCACGCUGGCUGCCAUCGCGAGCGAGUCGCGCCGCAACAAAAAAGUCUCCAAAGCGCACACGCGUGGGAAUAAUUAUACGUGGGAGUAAUUAUAGGGCAACUUUGUUAGCUGCGUAUAUCUCUGCGAUAUUCCGCGUGCUUUGCCGCUACGUUUUGCCAUAUUGAUUGACCCUUGUUUGCCGUUGUUAAUACUCGGGAAAAGCCUCGAGGCACACCCGAAUAUUUGCUAAAUCGCACAAUGGCAGAUUAACUGGGUUUUAUUAAUAACUGACCUUUACUCGAUCGAUCUGCGGUAAUUGAAUCUCUCAAAAAUAAAAAAGUUCAAGAGCGUUAUAAAGUAUGUAUAAGAUAAUCUCUUGUGGCAUGAAAAAGAUAAAUAAACAAGAAAUAUGCAAUACAAAGUUCUCACGUUGAGUGUUAGUUACUUCGUAAGUAUUAGUGUUCAUAGUUCAAAAAGGACAUUCUGAGAUGUUGUACAGAGAUCUUCUUUCUAAGCAAAUUUAUAAUUAUUAAAAGAGGAAGUUAAUGCUACUGUAAUCUCUCUUGUGAAUAUGCAUUUACAAUAAAUAUAAUAUUACUGAGAAAUAAUUCUACAAAAAUCGGGAAACAAAGAAAAUGUUACUAAUUUAUAUUAUCAUCAUAAUUUGCAUUAACAAAUAUUAAUCCACUAAUUAAUAUUUUUUAUAAAUUAUAAAUACAAAUUAGUUUGACUACGCUGCAUUUUGUACGCGUUUUUCGAUCAGCAAGCCACGAAGAUUUCCGAUAAAAUAAUACAGAACAUUAUCAAUUACAAAUCCAGUGUCAGCAUCAAAAAAUUAUUUACGAGAGACAAGGAGAGUUUUUAUUUAGAUAAUUUAUAUCAAGGUUUCCUACUUGACCUUUAAUAUUAUAUAAAUAUAUAUAUAUCUUAUCUUUUUAUGAUAAUCUAUGCAUGUUCAAAAUUCAAGGUGCAUAGGUUUUACACAUAUCUACAAUCAUGUCUUGAAAGUUCGCUCAAAACUAGUUCGCCGAUUAUAAUUAAUAAUAUUCAAAAUAAAAAUAU